UUGAAUAAUCAGUGCCAACAAGUCUCAUCCAAAAUGAAGUUUCAGGCAUUCCAUUUCUACGCAAUGGUAGUUCUUCUACUUAUUUCUGCCUACCUCGUAGCUGGCAGUCUCAACAAUAAUGAAAAAUUUCGAUCAAUAAUACGUGCCAAAUCAUUCUGCGAGUCACUAAAACCGUUGUUGGCUAAAGUGAAGGACGGUGACCUAAACUUAUUCUAAAUCAAAACCAUUAUCCUAUAAAGUGAAAAAUAGUAAUACCUACCCUUAGUCAAAACGUCUCGGAGCAAAAAUACGUCAAUCUUAGCUCUUAAUAAUGAAAUAGCCAGUACAUUUUACGAUUAUGUGAAAUAAAAAUGUACCAGUAAUUUAUCAGAGAGAA
Molecule: long non-coding RNA, 376 nt
Organism: Orussus abietinus
Lineage: Eukaryota; Metazoa; Arthropoda; Insecta; Hymenoptera; Orussidae
Exons: 3
Source: RefSeq, a predicted model, not a curated record